UGGGGAAUAUUGCACAAUGGGCGGAAGCCUGAUGCAGCGACGCCGCGUGGGGGAUGAAGGCCUUCGGGUUGUAAACUCCUUUCGACAGGGACGAAGCUUUUGUGACGGUACCUGUAUAAGAAGCACCGGCUAACUACGUGCCAGCAGCCGCGGUAAUACGUAGGGUGCGAGCGUUGUCCGGAAUUACUGGGCGUAAAGAGCUCGUAGGUGGUUUGUCGCGUCGUCUGUGAAAUUCCGGGUCUUAACUCCGGGCGUGCAGGCGAUACGGGCUGACUUGAGUGCUGUAGGGGAGACUGGAAUUCCUGGUGUAGCGGUGAAAUGCGCAGAUAUCAGGAGGAACACCGAUGGCGAAGGCAGGUCUCUGGGCAGUAACUGACGCUGAGGAGCGAAAGCAUGGGUAGCGAACAGG
This 409-nucleotide ribosomal RNA is filed under the name Actinomycetes bacterium. RNAcentral describes it as "Actinobacteria bacterium partial 16S ribosomal RNA". It matches the Rfam family "Bacterial small subunit ribosomal RNA", at positions 355 to 776 of the family's 1533-position model. The record is from RNAcentral. Lineage: Bacteria; Bacillati; Actinomycetota; Actinomycetes.